Egretta garzetta (little egret) is the source of this 488-nucleotide long non-coding RNA. RefSeq lists it as uncharacterized. Lineage: Eukaryota; Metazoa; Chordata; Aves; Pelecaniformes; Ardeidae. The record is from RefSeq and is a predicted model, not a curated record. The transcript is spliced from 3 exons.
UAGGUGGUGGGGACCUCAUUAAGGGUCGUUAGGUGGUGGGAAUCCAAUUAAGGUUCGUUAGGUGGUGGGGGACCCCAAAAGGGUUCGUCAGGUGGUGGGGACCCAAUUAAGGUUCGUUAGGUGGUGGGGACCUAAUUAAGGGUCGUUAGGUGGUGGGGACCCAAUUAAGGUUCGUUAGGUGGUGGGGAACCCAAUUAAGGUUCGUUAGGUGGUGGGGACCUAAUUAAGGGUCAUUAGGUGGUGGGGGACCCCAACAGGGUUCGUCAGGUGGUGGGGACCUAAUUAAGGUUCGUUAGGUGGUGGGGCCCUAAUUAAGGUUCAUUAGGCACUGGGGACCUAAUUAAGGUUCGUUAGGCGGUGGGGACCCAAUUAAGGUUCGUUAGGUGGUGGGGCCCUAAUUAAGAUUCGUUAGGUGGUGGGGGACCCUGGCGGGGUUCGUUAGGUGGUGGGGACCCAAUUAAGGCUCGUUAGGCGGUGGGGGACCCAAU